This 859-nucleotide ribosomal RNA is filed under the name uncultured marine bacterium. Its description in RNAcentral is "bacterial SSU rRNA". It matches the Rfam family "Bacterial small subunit ribosomal RNA", at positions 56 to 913 of the family's 1533-position model. The record is from RNAcentral.
UGCAGUCGUGCGAGAAGUAUCUUCGGAUAUGAGUAGAGCGGCGGACGGGUGAGUAACGCGUAGGAAUCUACCUAGUAGAAGGGGAUAGCCCGGGGAAACUCGGAUUAAUACCGUAUACCUCCUUAGGGAGAAAGAGGGCCUCUCUUGAUGCUCUCGCUAUUAGAUGAGCCUGCGUAAGAUUAGCUUGUUGGUGAGGUAAUGGCUCACCAAGGCUACGAUCUUUAGCUGGUCUGAGAGGACGAUCAGCCACAUUGGGACUGAGACACGGCCCAGACUCCUACGGGAGGCAGCAGUGGGGAAUAUUGGACAAUGGGCGCAAGCCUGAUCCAGCCAUACCGCGUGUGUGAAGAAGGCUCUAGGGUUGUAAAGCACUUUAAGCAGGGAGAAAAAGUUAUAAGUUAAUACCUUAUAACCGUGAUGUUACCUGCAGAAUAAGCACCGGCUAAUUCCAUGCCAGCAGCCGCGGUAAUACGGAAGGUGCAAGCGUUAAUCGGAAUUACUGGGCGUAAAGCGCGCGUAGGUGGUUUGUUAAGUUGGAUGUGAAAGCCCUGGGCUCAACCUAGGAACUGCAUCCAAAACUAACUCACUAGAGUACGAUAGAGGGAGGUAGAAUUCAUAGUGUAGCGGUGGAAUGCGUAGAUAUUAUGAAGAAUACCAGUGGCGAAGGCGGCCUCCUGGAUCUGUACUGACACUGAGGUGCGAAAGCGUGGGUAGCGAACAGGAUUAGAUACCCUGGUAGUCCACGCCGUANACGAUGACAACUAGCUGUUGGGAGACAAUGUCUUUCAGUGGCGCAGCUAACGUUUUAAGUUGUCCGCCUGGGGAGUACGGCCCGCAGGCUAAAACUCAAAUGAAUUGA